Molecule: long non-coding RNA, 705 nt
Organism: Astatotilapia calliptera (eastern happy)
Lineage: Eukaryota; Metazoa; Chordata; Actinopteri; Cichliformes; Cichlidae
Source: Ensembl
GUCAAAACAUUCCUUCACAUUUUUAAAAGAUUAAGCUAUACUUGCUACUAAAGACCGUAUCAGUCAUGGCACCAGUAUGAGCUUGAAGGGAUUUCCUCAGCUCAAUCUCAAGUGCUGUGCAAAAGUCUUAAGUCACCAUUCAUUUCUUUAUAUUUUUUUCUAAAAUGGUGUUGAACAAGUUUUGCUUUGGACAUUGGCUGGUUUUUCGCUCCUUUUCAAUCCAGUCCUUGUACCCGAACAUUUUCACAGGAAUGUUUUUUGUUUAUUAGGCCACUCAUAAAAACAGCACCUCGAUCAAGGUAUGGACCAGUGUAGUUGAUGUCAUGGUCCCUGUGUCUGCCCAGCCGGCCCCGCAAAGCUACAUGUGUUUUCCUCUCUGCCUGGGCGGAGCUCACUGGCCCACACACCUGUUCGCGAUUAGCUGUCAUUACCUGUCCACUAUUUGAGGCUGGGAAGCAGAUCCUCUCAUCGCUGGAUGAUUGUGCGAAACACUUUUCCUUCCCGGACCUGUGACCUUCCUGCUGUGUGAACGUGUGUGAGUUUGGGCGUGAAGACGAGAACGAGUGUGAGAGAGCUUCCCCUUGGACCUUUUGAUCCCUGGAUUUCCCCCCUCACUGUAUACAUUCUGCACUGGUGUUGUAAAUAAACUGUGUUUGGAAACGUCAACCUGCUCUGCGCUUGAGUCCCUGCUAUCGACCGUGACAG